Molecule: ribosomal RNA, 440 nt
Filed under: uncultured bacterium
Lineage: Bacteria
Description: partial 16S ribosomal RNA
Rfam family: Bacterial small subunit ribosomal RNA
Source: RNAcentral
CCUACGGGAGGCUGCAGUAGGGAAUAUUGCUCAAUGGGGGAAACCCUGAAGCAGCAACGCCGCGUGGAGGAUGAAGGUUUUAGGAUUGUAAACCCCUUUUGUGAGGGAAGAUAAUGACGGUAUCUCACGAAUAAGCAACUGAUAACUCCGUGCCAGCAGCCACGGUAAUACGGCGGGUGCAAGCGGUAAUCGGAAUCACUGGGCGUAAAGAGUGCGCAGGCGGGAUUGUAAGUCAGAGGUGAAAUCCUGUAGCUUAACUACAGAACUGCAUGUGAAACUAUGAGUCUAGAGUGUGGGAGAGGUAGGUGGAAUUCUUGGUGUAGGGGUAAAAUCCGUAGAUAUCAAGAGGAAUAUUCAUUGCGAAGGCGACCUACUGGAACAUAACUGACGCUCAUGCACGAAAGCGUGGGGAGCAAACAGGAUUAGAUACCCCAGUAGUC